GAGUUUGAUCAUGGCUCAGAACGUACGCUGGCGGCACGCCUAACACAUGCAAGUCGAACGAAGUAGCAAUACUUAGUGGCAGACGGGUGAGUAACAUGUAGGUAUCUGCCCUUUGGCCUGGAAUAACACGAGGAAACUUGUGCUAAUACCGGAUAAGUCUUUACGGAGAAAGCUUUAUGCACCAUUGGAUGAGCCUGCACUUGAUUAGUUUGUUGGUGGGGUAAUGGCCUACCAAGACUGUGAUCAAUAGCUGAUUUGAGAGGAUGAUCAGCCACAUUGGGACUGAGACACGGCCCAAACUCCUACGGGAGGCAGCAGUGGGGAAUCUUGCACAAUGGAGGAAACUCUGAUGCAGCGAUGCCGCGUGAGUGAAGAAGGCCCUUGGGUUGUAAAGCUCUUUCGUCGGGGAAGAAAAUGACUGUACCCGAAUAAGAAGGUCCGGCUAACUUCGUGCCAGCAGCCGCGGUAAUACGAAGGGACCUAGCGUAGUUCGGAAUUACUGGGCUUAAAGAGUUCGUAGGUGGUUGAAAAAGUUGGUGGUGAAAUCCCAGAGCUUAACUCUGGAACUGCCAUCAAAACUUUUCAGCUAGAGUUUGAUAGAGGAAAGCAGAAUUUCUAGUGUAGAGGUGAAAUUCGUAGAUAUUAGAAAGAAUACCAAUUGCGAAGGCAGCUUUCUGGAUCAUUACUGACACUGAGGAACGAAAGCAUGGGUAGCGAAGAGGAUUAGAUACCCUCGUAGUCCAUGCCGUAAACGAUGUGUGUUAGACGUUGGAAAUUUAUUUUCAGUGUCGCAGCGAAAGCGAUAAACACACCGCCUGGGGAGUACGACCGCAAGGUUAAAACUCAAAUGAAUUGACGGGGACCCGCACAAGUAGUGGAGCAUGUGGUUUAAUUCGAAGAUACGCGCAGAACCUUACCAACACUUGACAUGUUCGUCGCGACUUUAAGAGAUUAAAGUUUUCGGUUCGGCCGGACGAAACACAGGUGCUGCAUGGCUGUCGUCAGCUCGUGUCGUGAGAUGUUGGGUUAAGUCCCGCAACGAGCGCAACCCUCACUUUUAGUCGCCAUCAUUUAGUUGGGCACUCUGAAAGAACUGCCAGUGAUAAGCUGGAGGAAGGUGGGGAUGACGUCAAGUCCUCAUGGCCCUUACGUGUUGGGCUACACACGUGCUACAAUGGUAUUUACAACAGGAAGCAAGACGGCGACGUUAAGCAAAUCCUUAAAAAAUACCUCAGUUCGGAUUGCACUCUGCAACUCGAGUGCAUGAAGCUGGAAUUACUAGUAAUCGUGGAUCAGCGUGCCACGGUGAAUGCGU
Molecule: ribosomal RNA, 1315 nt
Filed under: unidentified marine bacterioplankton
Lineage: Bacteria
Description: bacterial SSU rRNA
Rfam family: Bacterial small subunit ribosomal RNA
Source: RNAcentral